UAGGGAAUCUUCGGCAAUGGACGGAAGUCUGACCGAGCAACGCCGCGUGAGUGAAGAAGGUUUUCGGAUCGUAAAGCUCUGUUGUUAGAGAAGAACGUUGGUAGGAGUGGAAAAUCUACCAAGUGACGGUAACUAACCAGAAAGGGACGGCUAACUACGUGCCAGCAGCCGCGGCAAUACGUCGGUCCCGAGCGUUGUCCGGAGUUAUUGGGCGUAAAGCGAGCGCAGGCGGUUCUUUAAGUCUGAAGUUAAAGGCAGUGGCUUAACCAUUGUACGCUUUGGAAACUGGAGGAGUUGAGUGCAGAAGGGGAGAGUGGAAUUCCAUGUGUAGCGGUGAAAUGCGUAGAUAUAUGGAGGAACACCGGUGGCGAAAGCAGCUCUCUGGUCUGUAACUGACGCUGAGGCUCGAAAGCGUGGGGAGCAAACAGG
RNAcentral lists this ribosomal RNA (429 nucleotides) under Bacillota bacterium. RNAcentral describes it as "Firmicutes bacterium partial 16S ribosomal RNA". It matches the Rfam family "Bacterial small subunit ribosomal RNA", at positions 355 to 776 of the family's 1533-position model. Lineage: Bacteria; Bacillati; Bacillota. The record is from RNAcentral.